RNAcentral lists this ribosomal RNA (253 nucleotides) under uncultured bacterium. RNAcentral's name for it is "partial 16S ribosomal RNA". It matches the Rfam family "Bacterial small subunit ribosomal RNA", at positions 524 to 776 of the family's 1533-position model. The record is from RNAcentral.
UACGUAGGAGGCAAGCGUUGUCCGGAAUUACUGGGCGUAAAGUGUGCGCAGGCGGCUGAGCAAGUCGAGUGUGAAAGCCCCGGGCUUAACUUGGGAAUUGCGCUCGAAACUACUUGGCUGGAGUGUGGCAGAGGAGGGUGGAAUUCCUGGUGUAGCGGUGGAAUGCGCAGAUAUCAGGAGGAACACCGGUGGCGAAGGCGGGUCUCUGGGCAGUAACUGACGCUGAGGAGCGAAAGCGUGGGGAGCGAACAGG